This is a long non-coding RNA of Lemur catta (Ring-tailed lemur), 545 nucleotides long. RefSeq lists it as uncharacterized. The transcript has 3 exons. NCBI's taxonomy places the organism in Eukaryota, Metazoa, Chordata, Mammalia, Primates, Lemuridae. The record is from RefSeq and is a predicted model, not a curated record.
GCAGAAUACUACUGUUUGGACUGAACUGGGAGUGAUCAGAGACAGGGCAGCUAUAUGAAGAUUUUUUGCAGAAAAUUGGAGUAAUAAAAGGAUCCUGAGAGUCAGGCUAACCUGGAACCACUCCUCUAGGUAGCAACCAGUAAAAUGGGCCUGUCUAGCCAAAGAGGUAGCCACGAGUAUGCAUUUAACUUCUGUCCUAAGCCAAAUGCUUUACCAGAAUCAUGAAGUUGACAAGAAAAGAAAACAAACAACUCCUGAAUUUUAGGAGCUUAAGUUAAAUGUUGUGAGGUGAGACAUAAACUCUGAAAAGAUUUAUACUACAGGGAGAAUCAAAAGAAUACAGAAACACAAUAACUAGAAAGUACCAGUGAGGAGCUGACAGAAAGGAUUUAAUUACCUUCUUUGUGGCUUGAGGACAAGUCUUGAGAUUCAAGUUACACAACCAACCAGAGAAAGAUUCAGCUUUUUUGCACACUAUUGACUCACCUCCCUUUUGUUAUUUCUGCCUGUCACACAGCAAUAAAUAAAAUGUUUUUUAAUACCUA